GACGAACGCUGGCGGCGUGCUUAACACAUGCAAGUCGAACGGAAAGGCCCUGCUUUUGUGGGGUGCUCGAGUGGCGAACGGGUGAGUAACACGUGAGUAACCUGCCCUUGACUUUGGGAUAACUUCAGGAAACUGGGGCUAAUACCGGAUAGGAGCUCCUGCUGCAUGGUGGGGGUUGGAAAGUUUCGGCGGUUGGGGAUGGACUCGCGGCUGAUCAGCUUGUUGGUGGGGUGGUGGCUUACCAAGGCUUUGACGGGUAGCCGGCCUGAGAGGGUGACCGGCCACAUUGGAACUGAGAUACGGCCCAGACUCCUACGGGAGGCAGCAGUGGGGAAUAUUGCACAAUGGGCGGAAGCCUGAUGCAGCAACGCCGCGUGCGGGAUGACGGCCUUCGGGUUGUAAACCGCUUUCGCCUGUGACGAAGCGUGAGUGACGGUAAUGGGUAAAGAAGCACCGGCUAACUACGUG
This 468-nucleotide ribosomal RNA is filed under the name uncultured bacterium. Its description in RNAcentral is "partial 16S ribosomal RNA". It matches the Rfam family "Bacterial small subunit ribosomal RNA", at positions 28 to 507 of the family's 1533-position model. The record is from RNAcentral.